GGAUGUGAGGGUGAUCUGGCUGGAAAGCCUAUCACCCCAUUGAUCCCCGGGGUUGAUUCGCCUGAUCUUGCUGGCUAGGCGGAUGUCCCCCUUGUCCCUCAAUGCACCAUGUGCUUCUUUCCUGAAAUUGCACACUCCAUUAAAGUGGAAGACCACCCCUGAAAGGGGAGGAUGGUUUCUUGGUCAAGGGUAUACAAAUAGCUAUGCUCCACUCCUAGGAUCUCCAGAAAAGCUCUCCGGGGUCAUCUUCUAUAAAUGCCUUUAGAAAAUGUUACUACUCUGCUAGAAGCACAUUAAUAGCUGAAAGUUCCCAAUACAAUUAGCAACUAU
Molecule: small nuclear RNA, 330 nt
Filed under: Chinchilla lanigera (long-tailed chinchilla)
Lineage: Eukaryota; Metazoa; Chordata; Mammalia; Rodentia; Chinchillidae
Description: 7SK RNA (ENSCLAG00000022175.1)
Rfam family: 7SK RNA
About the family: 7SK was discovered as an abundant small nuclear RNA in the mid-70s but a possible function has only recently been suggested. Two independent studies have found that 7SK RNA binds the CDK9/cyclin T complex (known as elongation factor P-TEFb).
Source: RNAcentral